This 651-nucleotide ribosomal RNA is filed under the name Bigelowiella natans. RNAcentral describes it as "SSU rRNA". It matches the Rfam family "Eukaryotic small subunit ribosomal RNA", at positions 626 to 1278 of the family's 1831-position model. Lineage: Eukaryota; Cercozoa; Chlorarachniophyceae. The record is from RNAcentral.
GCUCGUAGUUGGAUAUCUGGCUUUGCACGGACGGCCCGCCUUCGGGUUGAGUGCUGGAAGUGCUAGCCUAUUUUCUGGUUGGCGUUCUUUCCCUUUAUUGUGGCGAGUUUCGCGAUCCGGAUCGUUUACUUUGAAGAAAUUCGAGUGUUCAAAGCAGGCUUACGCCGUGAAGAUUGCAGCAUGGAAUAAUGACAUAGGACUAUCGUGUUCUAUUUUGUUGGUUCUGGGACCGUAGUAAUGAUUGAUAGGGACAGUUGGGGGUGCUGCUAUUCCGCGGCCAGAGGUGAAAUUCUCAGAUUCCCGGAAGAGCAACUUAUGCGAAAGCAUUCACCAAGGAUGUCUUCUUUAAUCAAGAACGAAAGUAGGGGGAUCGAAGACGAUCAGAUACCGUCGUAGUCUCUACCAUAAACUAUGCCGACUAGGGAUUGGUGGACGUUGUUUUAUCCGACUCCAUCAGCACCUUAUGAGAAAUCAAAGUCUUUGGGUUCCGGGGGGAGUAUGGUCGCAAGGCUGAAACUUAAAGGAAUUGACGGAAGGACACCACCAGAAGUGGAACUUGCGGCUUAAUUUGACUCAACACGGGAAAACUUUCCAGGUCCAGACAUAGUAAGGAUUGACAGAUUGAAGAUCUUUCUUGAUUCUAUGGGUGGU